GAGGGCAAGGCCUGGAUGAGCGGGGAGUUCGCGGGGCUCUGCAGCCCGAUCCCUUCGAGCCAAUCCCGACUCUGCUGACUCCCCGGCUUCCCGCCGCGGUGCCGGAGGACCCCGGUGACUGGGCCCGUUCAACCUCUUCGUCGCUGGCCUGAUAGGCUGAUCAGUCGCACUGGAACUGAGACACGGUCCCCUCUUCUACUCUAAGCUGCGAGGGGGAAUUGUGGACUAUGGCCGAAAGCCUGAGCCCCCGGUGCCGCCUAGGUGCGCGUGUGCUUCAGAAUGUCAAGCACUUUAAGUUUUUACGCAAGGACGUAAGUUUUUACCUUGCUGUUUUGACGUUGUCGAGUUACUAAGCAACGAAUAACUCUGUACCUGCAUGCCCGCUUACACGGAGAUAGCGAGCGUGCAUCCGAUAUUCUGAGUUACUGGCGCACGAUCGUCUCUUGUUUCUUGGAUAGUGUAAAUGCCAAGGCUCACGCUGUCAACUGCAUCCUUGACUGAAAACUGUCCAUACUGUAGACGUAGAUAGGAAUUUUCAUGAUGUACCGUGAAAUGCGUAAAUGUAGAGAGAUCUGCAAGAUGUCCAGGGGGCUACACGCUGGACCCAUGCUGACACUGAGACUGCCCAAGCGGUGAUAUCGCGGAGAGCAUUACGAUGACUCUGAUACUCCGACUACUGCUACGCGCAUGAUCAAGCUAGUCCGUUUGGAAAUCGCUUGGAGUCUCUUGAGUGCUUGCAGCUU
RNAcentral lists this ribosomal RNA (743 nucleotides) under Pseudomonas sp. SS52. Its description in RNAcentral is "partial 16S ribosomal RNA". The stretch from base 1 to 405 matches the Rfam family "Bacterial small subunit ribosomal RNA", at positions 87 to 541 of the family's 1533-position model. Lineage: Bacteria; Pseudomonadati; Pseudomonadota; Gammaproteobacteria; Pseudomonadales; Pseudomonadaceae. The record is from RNAcentral.